RNAcentral lists this long non-coding RNA (256 nucleotides) under Gallus gallus (chicken). Lineage: Eukaryota; Metazoa; Chordata; Aves; Galliformes; Phasianidae. The record is from RNAcentral.
GUGAAACAGUGAGAGGAGAUUGGAAAAGAAUGCAGAAAUGCAUAGAGGAACUUAUGUGCAUGUCACAGCCACUAUUAAGCUAAGAGCAUCUUACUUCAUCUGCUUCUUGUCAUCAGGUUUCAAUAAUUCUCCAAAGACGAGUAUCUCAUUUGCAUCUUAUAGGGCAAAAGAGCACAUGAGUUCUUGCAAUACAAGUGAUAUUUUACAGCAAGCCUUUUUCUUCUGGGCCAGAAUACAAGCUUUAAUUGAAGAUCAG